GAAAUGCGAUAAGUAGUGUGAAUUGCAGAAUUCAGUGAAUCAUCGAAUCUUUGAACGCACAUUGUGCCCUUUGGUAUUCCUUAGGGCAUGCCUGUUCGAGCGUCAUUACGCACCCUCAAGCCCGGCUUGUGUGAUGGGCCCUGGCGUCUCGUUCGCGAGACGGGCCCGAAAGGCAGCGGCGGCGUCGACCCGAUGAGCCCGAGCGUAUGGGGACUUUUGUCACACGUUUGCGGUGCGGACCGGCGCCUGCUUGACUUUUCUGAUUAUCCAGGUUGACCUCGGAUCAGGUAGGGAUACCCGCUGAACUUAAGC
Molecule: unclassified non-coding RNA, 312 nt
Filed under: plant metagenome
Description: partial contains 5.8S ribosomal RNA, internal transcribed spacer 2, and large subunit ribosomal RNA
Rfam family: 5.8S ribosomal RNA (bases 1-105)
Source: RNAcentral